GAUGAACGCUGGCGGCGUGCCUAAUACAUGCAAGUCGAACGAAACUUCUUUAUCACCGAGUGCUUGCACUCACCGAUAAAGAGUUGAGUGGCGAACGGGUGAGUAACACGUGGGCAACCUGCCCAAAAGAGGGGGAUAACACUUGGAAACAGGUGCUAAUACCGCAUAACCAUAGUUACCGCAUGGUAACUAUGUAAAAGGUGGCUAUACUACCGCUUUUGGAUGGGCCCGCGGCGCAUUAGCUAGUUGGUAGGGUAAAGGCUUACCAAGGCAAUGAUGCGUAGCCGAAUUGAGAGGUUGAUCGGCCACAUUGGGACUGAGACACGGCCCAAACUCCUACGGGAGGCAGCAGUAGGGAAUCUUCCACAAUGGGCGAAAGCCUGAUGGAGCAACGCCGCGUGGGUGAAGAAGGUCUUCGGAUCGUAAAACCCGGUUGUUAGAGAAGAAAGUGCGUGAGAGUAACUGUUCACGUUUCGACGGUAUCUAACCAGAAAGCCACGGCUAACUACGUG
This 512-nucleotide ribosomal RNA is filed under the name uncultured bacterium. RNAcentral's name for it is "partial 16S ribosomal RNA". It matches the Rfam family "Bacterial small subunit ribosomal RNA", at positions 28 to 507 of the family's 1533-position model. The record is from RNAcentral.